Long non-coding RNA from Homo sapiens (human), 4167 nucleotides. RefSeq lists it as uncharacterized. NCBI's taxonomy places the organism in Eukaryota, Metazoa, Chordata, Mammalia, Primates, Hominidae. The record is from RefSeq and is a predicted model, not a curated record. The transcript is spliced from 2 exons.
UCUCUUUCUCUGUGCAAACUGGUUGAAUUAAUGGUAAAAAAUCACUGUUUAUCUCCUAUAAAGUUUUGAUUAAUGGAAGAAAGGAUUUUUGAUGCUAGACUUAAGCUGCAGCAAAUCUGAUGUGCUUUGUGUGUUUUUCUGUAUUAUUCUGUCAUAAAGAGGGGUACCUUAUGAUAGAACACUGGCUUAGGACGCUUUUCAAGGCAGAACAGCAAACUGGUCUGUUACAAACUUUGCUGCAGUUUCCUGAGAAAAACUGGAUGAGUUUUUUUCUUGUCUUGCAUGUCCUUGGGAACUUGAAGCUGUAAGCAUGUGGCCAUGUUUUCUCUUUUCACAAUGGCAUCCUGUGUUCAGGGUUCAAUUUCUGCCUCGGGAUGAAUUUUUUUUAUCUUCUUCUGUACACAAUUGGAGAAACUGAUUAUUUUACGAAGACUUUGAUGGAAUGGUAUACUCUCCUUUAAGGAAUCAAACUUGACUUGCCAAGUCAAUAAAAGCCCCUUGGAGAAAUGGCCUCAGACCUUUGCUACAACAGUCCCUGUACGUGAUUUCUGACCUGUGGUAAGUAAAUAAUGUCACCUUCUAACAGGUCCAGGAGCCCCAAGUUAUCUUGGGACCCCAAGAGGAGAGGAAUUUACUAAACUCAUAGGUAUUUGAGGGUACAAACCCAUGGUAGGGCUCAGCUCAAAAAGAGUCUUAUCUAAGAUUCCUUCUAAGAAACAAAGUUUCAUCAAAGCCAGUGUUAAAAGUCUAUGUGAAAAAUAAUUAUUCUUGCUGUACUUUAUACAAAUAAUCAGGCCAAGUAUAAUAAAGCAAAUUAGUCUCACUAUGACUUAUCUUUAGUGAAAAUGGAAAACAGGAGAGAGAAUAUUAUGUUUCAAGACCUAUGUUACACUUGUUAUUAAAUUCUAGUCUCAUCAGUUGUUAAGUUUGUUUCUGCAGUUUAGGCUAACCCUGCUUCUUCCUGUGAACCAACCGGUGAUCUUUGUUUGCUACUCUGAAAAAACAAGACAUUUUGGUAAUGUAAAAAUCUGGAUCAGUAUUCUAAUUCUGGGCAUGUAUUGGAAUUGGCUAACCACCUCAUGUCAGCUUGGUUCCAGUAGUUGCCCAGUUCAUGAAGAGCCUUAUAAUUUAGUUUAUUUGGGAUAAUUUUGCUUAUUUUGUUAUAUUGCUGUUUUACUCUUUGUGUAGGAAUGCAGACUAAGCUUGCUAAAUGUUUUCUUAAACUAAAUACUUAUUAGUCUUUCAGAUAUCACCUUUCAUCAGGACUCAAGAGUUCUGAAUGGCCUUCAUCAUACUGAGGCUUUCUGACUGAGCUCCUCUCUACCCUGAACACAGAGACCCUAAUAGUUAGGCAGGAAUAUCAUUUCCCCUAUUCAGCCUGAAGAAGUUACAGAAGAUGAAUCUUUGUCCCCCUACAACCUUAGGAUUAAGGGUUCUCUUAUAAAAGGGAGGGAGGAAAUGUCUAAGACAUGUGAACUAGAGCAACUUCAUCCUGAAGAGGAGCUGAGUAAAAUAAGGCUGAAACCUACUGGGCUGCAUUCUUAGACAGUUAAGGCAUUCUAAGUCACAGGAUGAGAUAGGAGGUUAGCACAAGAUACAGGUCCUUAAAACCUUGCUGAUAAAACAGUUUGCAGUAAAGAAACCAGCCAAAACCCACCAAAACCAAUAUGGCCACGAGAGUGACCUCUGGUCAUCCUCACUGCUACACUCCCACCAGCGCCAUAAUAGUUCACAAAUACCAUAGCAACAUCAGGAUGUAACCCUGCAUAAAUAAUGCACCCCUUGUUUAGCAUAUGAUCAAGAAAUAACCAUAAUAAUAGGCAACCAGCAGCCCUCAGGGAUGCUCUGUCUUUGGAGUAGCCAUUCUCUUAUUCCUCUACUUUCUUAAUAAACUUGCUUUCACUUUACUCAGACUCCUCAUAAAUUCUUUCUUGCACAAGAUCCAAGAACCCUCUCUUGGAGUCUGAUUGGGACCUUUUUCUUGUGACAGAUUCUGCCAGUUUCUGUUCUUGGCAGGUUCCAUUUCUACAAAUUCCUCAUCUCUAUAGGUUUAGGAUCAGAAUGUUCCAGCAGGGGAGCAUUACAGCUGUUUCAAUCCUCAGGGAGACUACUCAUCUUGGGAAUAAUUCCUUCCUGGAGUGAUUGGAAAAUAAUUCCUAAAAGAAAUUGAAAAGUCAAAUUGUUGAACGGUAAAUUCACCAUCACGUUUACCAUAAAGCAUGUAGAGAAAUGGAAAUAGUUACACAUCAUGGUUGAGAGUGCAGGAUUUGCAGUCAGACAGUUUCUGGCACUUAGUAGCUUUAGAAAGUGACUUAAGCCCUCUAAGCCCUCAGUUUUCACAUCUAUAAAAUGAAGUAAAUAAUAUAAGCCUCUCAGAAGUGGAGUGAGCGUUGAAUGAAAUAGUAUGUGAGUAGUUUAACGCAGAGACUGGCACUGACAUAAGAAACUAUUGUGAUAGAAGCAGAGCAGAGAAAAUAUUUUGAAUAGCUGUAUGCAUGGCAAUUUUUUAACCUCUUUAUUCGUGGCAACUCAUUUAAUUGCCACAACAAACUAAGUACUUUUAUUAUUUCCAUUGUUAUGGACUGAGCUAUGCUACCCUCUUCAUUUCAUAUGUUGAUGUCCUAAGUCCCAGUGCCCCAUAAUGUGACUAUAUUUGGAGACACGGUCUUUACAUGGAUAAUUAAGUUAAAAUUAGGUCAUUAGGGUGGGCCCUAAUUCAAUAUGGCUGGUGUCCUUAUCAGGUUAGGACACAGACAUGCAUAGAGGGAAAACCAGAAAAAAGGUAUAGGAGAAAAAAUGGUUAUCUACAAGCCAAAGAGAGAGGCCUCAGAGGAAGCCAACUCAACAAAUUUUAAAAUAUGUAUUUUGGAGAACAAAAUUAUUAGAAAAUAUUUACAACAGAAAAAAAAAAUUUCUUCUAGAACUGAGCUGGUCUAAAGGUGCAUAUCUUGGUAAGGCUCUGUGAAGAAAUGACCUAAUCUGGAGAGAAGCUGUUGGGACACUCGUCUGUGUGUGGCCUGUGGCUCACAGGGGUGGGUAUUCUCAGAAAGCACAUGGGAAAAUCACCGUCCUGGUGUGUCCAGGCUCUGGGAACAGGCUCUUCCUCGUGGCUUUCACAUGGGUUUCCUGGUGGGCUAUGUAGUCACUUUCUGCAUCCUUCUUUUAAGGGCUCAUGAACGUCACAGACCCUGAGAUACCGGUCUCACUGUCCUCAACUAUCAAAUGAGGAGGUUGCACCAAAGAACCCCUAAAGCCCCUCCCACCUCUAAUCGCCUAUGGGACUGUCCAUUCUUCUUAAGGAUCAUUAUAGACACACAGCAGGGAACAUAAAGUAGACAAAUUCUGAGAAACAGCUAAGAAAAGUACUACAGACCCACCAGAAUGGGAGUAUAAAUUGGGCUUCAUCUGCCCCAUUGCAACCUAGACUUCCUUUGCCUUAUGAUUUGGCUCAAUGGCAUCUGUGACAAGGUAGCUUGAAGUUGACACCAGUGCAUCCCUGGAGAUUGGAUGGGCUGGGCUCAGAAUCCCAUACAUCCUUUACAGCCUUUUUUUUCCUCACCCUAUCCAUACCCUCACCCUACUAGAAUUAUGCAUGCACUUGUUGAAAACAGCCCUAGCAAAGUAAAUCUAGGCUCCUUAGGCCAUGAUUAAGGGCCCUUGAAGAAGUCAAAUUACCUAAGAAACUCUAGACAUGCACUCUCCAAUAUGCAAGCCACUAGUUCGUGUCUACUGAGCUCCUGAAUUGUGGCUAGUGCUAAUGGAGAUGUGCUGUAAGCAUGAAAUGCACACCAGAUGUACAAGACUUAGUAUGAAAAAAUAUAUUAAAAUCUCAUUAAUAGUAAGAUUAUUUUUAUAUUGAAAUGAUAAUUGUUAAUAUUGGGUUAAAUAAAAUAUAGCAUUAAAAUUCAUUUCUCCUGUUUUUACCUUUUUAAUGAGUCUACUAGAAAUUUUAAAUUUAUGAAUAUGGCAUAGUUUAUCUCCAUUGGACAGCACUGCUAUUUAGAGUAUCAAAAUUUGGUAUCUUUUGUGACAAUAAUAAAUCAUUUAUCAAGGAGAAAUACCCUAGAAUUGGACACUCAUCACCCAUUAUGUAACUUCAGCUAGCCUCUUGGUUUGUCCUCCUCUCUCUCAUAGAAUUAAUAAAGCAAUCUAUCAGGACAAAAUGAA